Molecule: non-coding RNA, 340 nt
Organism: Cinara cedri
Lineage: Eukaryota; Metazoa; Arthropoda; Insecta; Hemiptera; Aphididae
Source: the annotation of a GenBank genome assembly
UAUGGUAUAAACCCUUUUCUGAAAGUUUAGGGAGGUCAUUUUUGAUUUUCCUGGCAUUUUUCUCAAUAAAAAUGUGGGACAAACAGGAUAUUUACGAAAAUAAUGUUUAUUAUUUUAGAUUCUGAAUGCAGCAAAGAUUAUAUUGGUUUUUUACUAAGAUGAAUUUAUCUUGUGUACAAAAAUUUGACCAUAAAUCUUGCUCAAAUAUUUUAUACGCAUGGCACCAAAGAAAAUGUUGUCCAGUUAUUACUUUUGGGAGGUAAUUUUUUGAUUUUCCAAGUGGUUUCCAUAAUAUCUGAAAAACCAGAAUAAAACUUAAGAAAAAUGGGAAAUGUACAAA